AGAGGACUUGUGUUCAAGGCCCUUCACCAGCUUCAAAGGCCUUCUCUGGGCACGCUCCAGGGCCUCGAUGUCCUUCUUGUACUGCAGGGCCCAGAACUGCACACAGCACUUGCUCAGUGCUUUACCAGCCAGGAGAAUUAAACUACACCUGAUAUUCAAGCAGACAGAGUGAAAACAGCGCAAAAUUUGUGAGCAAAUAAAACAAAAAAAUCUGCCUUGGUUGGGCAGCGGCAGGGAAGCCACAGACCUGGGGCAGGCCCAAGGUCCAGAAGGUAGCAAGAAGCUGGGCUGAUCACUGCUCUGGGUCUGCUCAGGACAAUGGUCACUCUGUCUCCUCGGACUCUGGGCUGGAGCUCUGCAAAUCAAAUCUGGACUGCAUAAUCUGUGCGCAAAGAUCUCUCUGUAAUGAAAAAAAACUCUUGUCCGAAGCAGCGCUGACUGUCAUUGUAGCCAGAGAGGUUGGUAAAUUCCCCAGGUGAGGUCUGGUGAACUAUGCUGGCAUGAUCCUCGAAGGUCCUGGUGCUGGUGGCUUGCCCUGGCCCUGCUUCGCAUGUGCUUUAAAGGCUGGAGGCUUGAAAUCAAAACCAGCUACUGCUUAAAAUCAAAAUGCAAGGCUGUGGUUGUGCUGUGUGAGGAAAACAGGACCAGAACGCUUCCACUAGGUCGCAACAACUAGAAGUUUUUGCAACAAGGAUCUCUGACAGAAGGGCACGGGGGACCCUUGUGCCUAUGAAAUUACCUCCAGGUGAAUCUUGAAUUAGUUGGCAAAAUCUCUCAGGUAGAUUUCCUCUGCUUAGGGUUGAUUUGCUUUGAUGGAAGUAUGUCAUGAAACACAUUGUAUAAGCCAUGCUCUAGUGGGAAAUAUGAAUAUAUACUGUCUUACAAUGCAUUUAUGGUAUUUUGAAGUAAAGUUUUAAGGACAUGUUAAAUGGCCUUACCAACCGUGUCCAGUCUCUCCAUUCCUUUCUCCUCCUGUUAAUGCAAGCUAAAGAUCUGAAACCCUGGGCUUGCUACCUCCUUCAGGGGGGUUAAUUGUCCCACUGCAAGGGAAG
Molecule: long non-coding RNA, 1052 nt
Filed under: Anser brachyrhynchus (Pink-footed goose)
Lineage: Eukaryota; Metazoa; Chordata; Aves; Anseriformes; Anatidae
Description: lncRNA (ENSABRG00000000022.1)
Source: RNAcentral